RNA transcript from Gossypium raimondii (Peruvian cotton), 1767 nucleotides. RefSeq lists it as uncharacterized. The transcript has 4 exons. The record is from RefSeq and is a predicted model, not a curated record. Lineage: Eukaryota; Viridiplantae; Streptophyta; Magnoliopsida; Malvales; Malvaceae.
AAUAAGAAAUUCAUUCAUUCAUUCAGUUGCUUCGUCUCUCCACUCUCUAAUCUCCAAGUCUGAAGUUAAGCUCCCCAUGUAGAUCCUCUCCUCCUUAUCUUUACUGUUUUCUCUUUUUUUUUUUUUCUCUCAAAUGCGGAUAGAAGCUAAUAGAAACUAGCUUUUUCACUCAUGGGCUCUGUCACUGUAAAACCCUCAUUAAAUACUUUCUGUUUCAUUCCCGAGAGCCCCAAAAUUCGUUGUCAUUCGCCUCACUUCUCAUUCCUCAAACUCAGACCUUCCCCUGUUUCUUUCCCCUUUAAAUCUCCUUCUGAUCCAAUAAACUCAUCUCCCAAAUGUAAAAUUCGAAGCUUUAUGGUUAACCCUUUAUUGGUUUUAGUCCCAGUUUUGAGAAGCAUCAGAGGCUUGGCUUUUUCGCAUUCCCAAAAAUGGGCUUCACGUUUGCACGAUUGCAUUACAGAGUCGGAGGAAAUUUUAGACCAAUACAAUGGCAAUUGCUUGCAAAGUGGAGGUCUUGGGAUGGCUUUAUUGAGUGUAACAGCUAGCGCUAAAGUUCGGAUUAGUCCAUUCGUGGCGACAUUGGCGGCGAAUCCCACGUUUGUUUCUGGUUUGUUUGCAUGGUUCAUUGCUCAAUCGGUGAAGAUUUUUUUAAAUUUCUUUAUAGAGCGGAAAUGGGAUUUCCGGAUAUUGUUUGCUUCUGGUGGGAUGCCUUCUUCGCACUCGGCUUUGUGUACUGCUUUGACGACAUCGGUUGCCAUUUGUCAUGGAAUAGCGGACUCCCUGUUUCCUGUUUGUUUGGGGUUUAGUUUGAUUGUUAUGUACGACGCCAUUGGAGUUAGAAGGCAUGCGGGGAUGCAAGCUGCGGUUCUUGAAGCUGGUCUAUUAAGAUUUAAGAGGGCUGACUUGAUUUUCUGAACAUUAUCUUGGCAAGUUGUUGGUCCUGUUAUUAACAUGGCGAAAUUGUAAUUGUAACAGGGACAUAGGUCUUGGUUGUUUAGAGAAAAGGAAAAGGAGACUUGCAGGGUUCUAAAUAUGAUCGUUGAGGACCUAUUUCAAGGGCAUCCAAUUAGUCAAAGAAAACUCAAGGAACUUCUUGGCCACACACCGUCACAGGUCUUUGCUGGAGCUAUGCUUGGGAUUGUGGUAGCUUGUAUAUGCUGCCAAGGUUGCUUGACUACAACCUAGAAAUGCUUAUAGAGGUCUACAUCUGCAGUUGCCCUAUUCCCACAUAUGGGUUCCUAAUUUCUUCUUUCUUUUUUUCGCUCGAUACAAAUAUGACCUUAACUUGAAUGUAAGUUCCUCCCAUAAUUAUAUGCAACACCCCCCAAAACUCUAGUAGCUUGCCUUGAGAACUGUCAUUUGAUCUCUUUGUGGUUACUAACUUAUGUUGGAAUCGAGUCAUAAAACUUAAGGAACUUUCUGGCUAAACGCCAUCACAUGUCUUUGCUGGAGCUAUGCUUGGAAUUGUGGCGGCCUGUAUAUGCUGUCAAGGUUGUUCGGUUGCAGCAUAGAAAUGCUUCUGCAGGUAAUUUUUGGUAAUAUAAUUGGAACGGUGUUUCGCUAUUGUUUAAACCUGGCUCAAUUUUAUGGCCUUCUGAGCUUAUUGUACUCCACAUACUCUCAUUAACCAAAAACCUGAAGAUGUUCAACUUCUGCUCCCGUUUCGGUAACUUUCCCAGUUGUAAGUUAGAUUUGUUUUGUUCGUGAACUGGGUUACUUAUUCAAGUGUAAAGGUGUACCCAAAACAUGGUUGGGUUUGAGUGAAAA